RNAcentral lists this ribosomal RNA (996 nucleotides) under Isopoda sp. NZAC 03012115. Its description in RNAcentral is "partial 28S ribosomal RNA". The record is from RNAcentral. Lineage: Eukaryota; Metazoa; Arthropoda; Malacostraca; Isopoda.
GGCCGAGGCGUUAUUCGUCUCGCGUUUCGAGGGCUGACCGGCGUCUUCCUUUUGGUACGCGCGUAAGGGGGAUGCACUCCCCGGCCCGAAGUAGGGCGUCGCGGCCGUUUGAGGGGUGUCGAAGGCCCGGGGGUCUGGGAAACCCGAUUUUUCCCGCGCGCGUCGCCUCGUGCGGCGCGAACGGGUCGAGCGGGGCCGCCUCGGUGUCCUGACGGUCCCUCGGACGGUGAAAUCACCGACUGAAGCGAGCCGGUUGGUGGUUUGACGGGGUGUCGGCCUCUCGUUCGUUCCGCCCUUCCUCGUCGUCGUCGUCGUUCCUCGUCAAAGGGGUUUCGCGCGGCGGCGGCCGAGGGGGGUGGGCGAUGAAGUCGCGCCCGACUAAACGUCCCGGCUUCGCGAACGCGGCGGACUGUUACCGCGACUGCUUACUCGUCCCGUCUUGAAACACGGACCAAGGAGUCUAGAAUGCGCGCGAGUCAAAGGGUUGGCUAAACCCCAAGGCGAAACGAAAGUGAUUAUUUCGAUAAAAGGGCCGAUCCGGUUCGUGCGGGAGAGUUAGGGGCGUUGUGGCGGGAGGAUUGCGCGGCGGCGGCGGGGUCGGGGUUCGCCUCGUUCUCGUCGUCGUUCGCGCGUUCUCUCUCCCUCGCUCUUAAUUCGCUCUCCCCGCGAUUCGUCUCCCUAAUAUGAGGACGGCGCAGGCCCGGGGCUCGCCAAUGCUUCCUCCCCGCCGUUAAGGCUCGGUCGUUCGUUUUUCUCGUUCGUCGAGGCGCGGAGAGGCUCUCGUCGGGGCCUUCCCCUCGUACUACCUUCGCUCGUUGUCGCUCCGGUGGCGGCGGGAGAGGUGUACGGGGAGUCGGCUUCCGUGAGAGUUUUUUUCUCCGCGUUCUCGCUUUCGAGGCGGCGACUAGCUGGCGUGGGACGGGCGGCGGGUUCUCCGAGCGCGUAUUCUGGUACCCGAAAGAUGGUGAUCUAUGCCUGGCCAGGAUGAAGCCAGAA